AGGGUUUGAUCUUGGCUCAGAACGAACGCUGGCGGCGUGGAUUAGGCAUGCAAGUCGAACGAGGAUAUAUCCUUCGGGAUAUAAGCCGAGUGGCGCAAGGGUGAGUAAUGCAUAGAUUACCUGCCUCUAGGAUAAGGACAACUUUGUGAAAACGAAGCUAAUACUUAAUAAUACAAAAGAAAAUAAUUUUCUUUUGUCAAUGGGAGGGUAGCAAUACCUUUUGCCUAGAGAGGGGUUUAUGUCCUAUCAGCUUGUUGGUGGGGUAAUGGCCUACCAAGGCGAAGACGGGUAGCCGGUCUUAGAGGAUGGUCGGCCACACUGGGACUGAGACACUGCCCAGACUUCUACGGAAGGCUGCAGUCGAGAAUCUUUCGCAAUGCCCGAAAGGGUGACGAAGCGACGCCGCGUGAGUGAGGAAGGCCUUCGGGUUGUAAAGCUCUGUCAGGUGUUAAGAAAUAUAAGUGUGCUAAUACCACAUUUAUUUGACGAAGGCACCAAAGGAAGCCACGGCUAACUCUGUGCCAGCAGCCGCGGUAAUACAGAGGUGGCAAGCGUUGUUCGGAAUUAUUGGGCGUAAAGAGCACGUAGGUGGGUUUGUAAGUCAGAUGUGAAAGCCUUCUGUUCAACGGAAGAAUUGCAUCUGAAACUACAAGUCUUGAGUGUAGGAGGGGAGAAUGGAACUUCUGGUGGAGCGGUGAAAUGCGUAGAUAUCAGAAGGAACGCCGGCGGCGAAAGCGAUUCUCUGGCCUAUUACUGACACUCAGUGUGCGAAAGCUAGGGGAGCAAACGGGAUUAGAUACCCCGGUAGUCCUAGCCGUAAACGAUGGGCACUAAGUAGAGGGAAUUACCGAUGUUCUCUCUGCCGUAGCUAACGCAUUAAGUGCCCCGCCUGGGGAGUACGGCCGCAAGGCUAAAACUCAAAAGAAUUGACGGGGGCUCGCACAAGCGGUGGAGCAUGUGGCUUAAUUCGAUGCAACGCGAAGAACCUUACCGGGGCUUGACAUGGUAGAAGUAGGAACCCGAAAGGGUAACGAACGGUAUCCAGUCCGUAACUAUCACAGGUGUUGCAUGGCUGUCGUCAGCUCGUGUCGUGAGACGUUGGGUUAAGUCCCCUAACGAGCGAAACCCUUGUUUUUAGUUACCAGCGGGUUAUGCCGGGUACUCUAGAAAGACUGCCGUCGUCAAGACGGAGGAAGGUGGGGAUGACGUCAAGUCAUCAUGGCCCUUAUGCCCCGGGCUGCACACGUGCUACAAUGGUCGGUACAAACGGAAGCGAAGCCGAGAGGUGAAGCGAAUCCUAAAAAGCCGAUCUCAGUUCGGAUUGGAGGCUGAAAUUCGCCUCCAUGAAGUUGGAAUCGCUAGUAAUCGCGGAUCAGCAUUGCCGCGGUGAAUAUGUUCCCGAGCCUUGUACACACCGCCCGUCAAGCCACCCAAGCAGGAUGCACCCGAAAACAUUAUAUCUAACCAGGUUUACUUGGAGGAAAGUGUUGAAGGAGUGUUUUGUGAGGAGGACUAAGUCGUAACAAGGUAGUCGUAGGAGAACCUGCGGCUG
Molecule: ribosomal RNA, 1552 nt
Filed under: invertebrate metagenome
Description: bacterial SSU rRNA
Rfam family: Bacterial small subunit ribosomal RNA
Source: RNAcentral